RNAcentral lists this ribosomal RNA (781 nucleotides) under uncultured bacterium. Its description in RNAcentral is "bacterial SSU rRNA". It matches the Rfam family "Bacterial small subunit ribosomal RNA", at positions 8 to 796 of the family's 1533-position model. The record is from RNAcentral.
AGAGUUUGAUCCUGGCUCAGAACGAACGCUGGCGGCGUGGAUAAGACAUGCAAGUCGAACGGGACCAAGUCUGUAGUAAUACAAACUUGGUUCAGUGGCGCACGGGUGCGUAACACGUGAGCAAUCUGCCGGGAAGUGGGGGAUAGCUCGCCGAAAGGCGAAUUAAUACCGCAUGUGGCCAUUCUUCGAGUGGAGGAAAAGCCAAAGCAGCAAUGCGCUUCCUGAUGAGCUCGCGGCCUAUCAGCUCGAUGGCGGGGUAAUGGCCCACCAUGGCUUUGACGGGUAGCUGGUCUGAGAGGACGACCAGCCACACUGGAACUGAGACACGGUCCAGACACCUACGGGUGGCAGCAGUCGAGAAUUUUUCACAAUGGGGGAAACCCUGAUGGAGCGACGCCGCGUGGAGGAUGAAGGCCUUCGGGUUGUAAACUCCUGUCAUGCGGGAACAAGCAAGUGAUAGUACCGCAAGAGGAAGAGACGGCUAACUCUGUGCCAGCAGCCGCGGUAAUACAGAGGUCUCAAGCGUUGUUCGGAUUCAUUGGGCGUAAAGGGUGCGUAGGUGGUGAUGCAAGUCUGGUGUGAAAUCUCGGAGCUCAACUCCGAAAUUGCACCGGAUACUGCGUGACUCGAGGACUGUAGAGGAGAUCGGAAUUCACGGUGUAGCAGUGAAAUGCGUAGAUAUCGUGAGGAAGACCAGUUGCGAAGGCGGAUCUCUGGGCAGUUCCUGACACUGAGGCACGAAGGCCAGGGGAGCAAACGGGAUUAGAUACCCCCGUAGUCC